Molecule: small RNA, 107 nt
Filed under: Marmota monax (woodchuck)
Lineage: Eukaryota; Metazoa; Chordata; Mammalia; Rodentia; Sciuridae
Source: RNAcentral
GCUGGGCUCAGUGGCGCACACCUGUAAUCCCAGUGGCUCAGGAGGCUGAGGCAGGAGGAUCGUGAGUUCAAAGCCAGCCUCAGCAACUUAGUGAGAACCUGUCUCUA